GACGAACGCUGGCGGCGUGCCUAAUACAUGCAAGUCGAGCGGACUUUCCGGAGUGCUUGCCCUCCGGAAGGGUAGCGGCGGACGGGUGAGUAACACGCAGGCAACCUGCCCAUUCGACCGGGAUACCAUUUGGAAACGAAUGCUAAUACCGGAUAGACGGACCUCUCGCAUGAGGGGAUCGGGAAAGGCGGUGCAAUCUGCCGCUUAUGGAUGGGGUUGCGGUGCAUUAGCGGGUUGGUGGGGUACCGGCCUACCAAGGCGACGAUGCGUAGCCGACGUGUGAGGGGGAGCGGCCACACUGGGACGGAGACACGGCCCAGACUCCUACGGGAGGGGACAGAGGGGAAACUUCCGCAAGGGACGCAAGUCUGACGGAGAAACGCCGCGUGGGUGAGAAAGGGCUUCGGGUCGUAAAGCUCUGUUGCCAGGGAAAAACAGGUAGGGGAGUAACUGCCCUUGCCAUGACGGUACCUGAGAAGAAAGCCCCGGCUAACUACGUG
Molecule: ribosomal RNA, 500 nt
Filed under: uncultured bacterium
Lineage: Bacteria
Description: partial 16S ribosomal RNA
Rfam family: Bacterial small subunit ribosomal RNA
Source: RNAcentral